GAUCGCGCGAGUCGACUCCAAUCCCAACGGUAAUAUUGUCAGGAAGUGCAGACUGUGUCCAACGGCUCUAUUUUUGUCUCUAACGGCUAAUUCUUGUUUCCACGCCAUCUAAAGCUAUAAAAACAAGAAGAGAGCUAGGGGAGAACGAAUGGAAGUGGGAGAAAACAUUUAGGAAAGAGAUUACAAGGAAAAUCUCCCAUAAGCACAAAAAGGGCCAUCCAAAGAGAAAUAGAGAGAAGAAGAGCUUCCAAGUGAAUCCCAAAGCUUCCUCUCCAUCAGUGUGCUGCCUCGGUGAUCCUCUACUUCGUGCCAAAUCAGAAGAGGGUCAAGUAAAGAAGAAGUCGAGCUCCUCCAUCUUCAAAACUCGUUUGAGGGCUUCUCUUUACUCUGUUUGUUUAUAUUGUUAUAUUUGCUUGUUUAAGAAGCUUUGAUUUGUUUUAAACUUUGUUUUAUUAUCUUGUAACUUGAUUCAAUCACGGGAUUGAAUCAAGGGGUUAAGGUUUGUUGGUGAGCCAAAGGGAAAACCAACGGUGUAAGGUUUGUUGGUGAGCC
RNAcentral lists this long non-coding RNA (552 nucleotides) under Phoenix dactylifera (date palm). Its description in RNAcentral is "long non-coding RNA (PDAC_LNC021901)". Lineage: Eukaryota; Viridiplantae; Streptophyta; Magnoliopsida; Arecales; Arecaceae. The record is from RNAcentral.